RNAcentral lists this ribosomal RNA (492 nucleotides) under uncultured bacterium. RNAcentral describes it as "partial 16S ribosomal RNA". It matches the Rfam family "Bacterial small subunit ribosomal RNA", at positions 29 to 507 of the family's 1533-position model. The record is from RNAcentral.
AGUGAACGCUGGCGGUAGGCCUAACACAUGCAAGUCGAACGGCAGCACAGUAAGAGCUUGCUCUUACGGGUGGCGAGUGGCGGACGGGUGAGGAAUACAUCGGAAUCUACUUUUUCGUGGGGGAUAACGGAGGGAAACUUACGCUAAUACCGCAUACUAUCUACGGGUGAAAGCAGGGGAGCUUCGGACCUUUCGCGAUUGAAUGAGCCGAUGUCGGAUUAGCUAGUUGGCGGGGUAAAGGCCCACCAAGGCGACGAUCCGUAGCUGGUCUGAGAGGAUGAUCAGCCACACUGGAACUGAGACACGGUCCAGACUCCUACGGGAGGCAGCAGUGGGGAAUAUUGCGCAAUGGGCGCAAGCCUGAUCCAGCCAUACCGCGUGAGUGAAGAAGGCCUUCGGGUUGUAAAGCCCUUUUAUUGGGAAAGAAAAGCAGCAGAUUAAUACCCCGAUGUUCUGACGGUACCCAAAGAAUAAGCACCGGCUAACUUCGUG